RNAcentral lists this ribosomal RNA (450 nucleotides) under uncultured bacterium. RNAcentral's name for it is "partial 16S ribosomal RNA". It matches the Rfam family "Bacterial small subunit ribosomal RNA", at positions 354 to 796 of the family's 1533-position model. The record is from RNAcentral.
GUGGGGAAUCUUCCGCAAUGGACGAAAGUCUGACGGAGCAACGCCGCGUGAGUGAUGAAGGUCUUCGGAUUGUAAAGCUCUGUUAAUCGGGACGAAAGAGCCUAGUGUGAAUAAUGCUAGGAAGUGACGGUACCGGAAUAGAAAGCCACGGCUAACUACGUGCCAGCAGCCGCGGUAAUACGUAGGUGGCAAGCGUUGUCCGGAAUUAUUGGGCGUAAAGCGCGCGCAGGCGGAUCUGCCAGUCUGUCUUAAAAGUUCGGGGCUUAACCCCGUGAUGGGAUGGAAACUACAGAUCUAGAGUAUCGGAGAGGAAAGUGGAAUUCCUAGUGUAGCGGUGAAAUGCGUAGAUAUUAGGAAGAACACCAGUGGCGAAGGCGACUUUCUGGCCAGCAACUGACGCUGAGGCGCGAAAGCCAGGGGAGCAAACGGGAUUAGAAACCCGUGUAGUCC